AGGCAGCAAAGCACGGCGGCAAGAAGCCAACUUUGGGGCCAGACCUAGGGAUAUGGUCAGUUCACCAACAUUUCUUCAGUACCUUCUGCAUGCCAAGCACGGUGUGACCCAGGCCCAGUGUCUGAACCUCUCUGAGCCUCGGUUUACUAAUCUGAACCCCGGGAUAACACUAGCGGCCUCCUCGGAUGGCCGUGUGGAUUUACCAAGGUUUGUAAGAUGCCCAGCACAGCCUCCUGCCCUCCUCUUCAAUGCCUGAGGUCUUUGUUCAGAGGCAGAAGGAACGACCAAGGGAAGACCAGCAUUGCUUACCAGAGAAACUGAGGCUGGGUGAGAACAAAUGGCUCGCCCAGGGGAAUGCUUCAUGGUGGCCAUGGAGCCGCUGGAUGGCCAGGCUCCCCAAUGCCCCCCGAGUUGUUUGGAACCCUUUGAACCCAGCGGCACAAACAGACCCUCGGUGGGCGUGGACGGUCAGCUUUAUUUCUUUCCAUGCCGAGAAAUACAGAGGAGAGAACUGCACUGGCCUGGAGGACAGAAGGAAGCUGACAUAAAGGGAUUUUUUGACUUAAUAAAAACUCGAAGAGAAGAGAAAAAGCCAAGAAGUCCCCAGGGUGACCCACGGCAGCGAGGUUACCAGGGCCUGACUUGCAGUGAUGGCUGGCUGGAUGACCCAGAGGAAGAUGAAGACGCCAAUAAAGUGCCCAGGGUGUGUCCACGCCGGCGCUAAGUCCACCUCUGCCUGUCCCACCCUUGGGACACCCCGGGUGUGAAGGAUGCUGAGAUGUAAACAGUGGAGUGGAAAGUGGACAGGGAAGCAAACAGAAGGGUAGCAAAUCAGUUAUCUUGGAGAACGGAUGUGGUCUUAGGAAGCAGAUUAAAAAACUCAAGCAAGAGUUCCAGAAAACCUGGAAGGCACAUAAUUAAAGCUGAACUGACGGCUGCUGGACCCCAGCGGGAGCACCAGAGAGCGGAAGUGACAGGCCAGUGCCCACUUGCCAACCUGACCCUCCACUGCAGGUGGCUUCCCUCAUGGUGGCAGAAUGGCUGCAGGAGUUCUAGGAAUCACAUACAUACUCCAUCAUGC
Molecule: long non-coding RNA, 1081 nt
Organism: Balaenoptera ricei (Rice's whale)
Lineage: Eukaryota; Metazoa; Chordata; Mammalia; Artiodactyla; Balaenopteridae
Exons: 6
Source: RefSeq, a predicted model, not a curated record